CCUACGGGUGGCAGCAGUGGGGAAUAUUGGGCAAUGGGCGCAAGCCUGACCCAGCAAUGCCGCGUGAAGGAAGAAGGCUUUCGGGUUGUAAACUUCUUUGACAGGGGAAGAGCAGAAGACGGUACCCUGAAAACAAGCCACGGCUAACUACGUGCCAGCAGCCGCGGGAAUACGUAGGUGGCAAGCGUUGGCCGGAUUUACGGGGUGUAAAGGGCGUGUAGCCGGGAAGGCAAGUCAGAGGUGAAAUCUGGAGGCUCAACCUCCAAAUUGCAUUUGAAACUGUUUUUCUUGAGUGCUGGAGAGGCAGACGGAAUGCCUGGUGUAGCGGUGAAAUGCGUAGAUAUAAGGAGGAAAACCAGUGGCGAAGGCGGUCUGCUGGACAGCAACUGACGGUGAGGCACGAAAGCGUGGGGAGCAAACAGGAUUAGAUACCCGGGUAGUC
This 442-nucleotide ribosomal RNA is filed under the name uncultured bacterium. Its description in RNAcentral is "partial 16S ribosomal RNA". It matches the Rfam family "Bacterial small subunit ribosomal RNA", at positions 338 to 795 of the family's 1533-position model. The record is from RNAcentral.